GCAAGUCGAACGAGAGGCCCCUUCGGGGGUACUUCAGUGGCGGACGGGUGAGUAACACGUAGGUGACCUACCCCAAAGCGGGGAAUAACAGUCCGAAAGGAUUGCUAAUACCCCAUGUGGUCAAUGAGUCUAGAUGCUUGUUGACUAAAGGAGCAAUCCGUUUUGGGAGGGGCCUGCGCCCCAUCAGCUAGUUGGUAGGGUAAUGGCCUACCAAGGCUACAACGGGUAGGGGGCCUGAGAGGGUGACCCCCCACAUUGGCACUGACACACGGGCCAAACUCCUACGGGAGGCAGCGUGAGGAAUAUUGCUCAAUGGGCGAAAGCCUGAAGCAGAACGCCGCGUGCGCGAUGAAGGUCUUCGGAUCGUAAAGCGCUUUUGAGAGGGACGAGAUAGGACGGUACCUCUUGAAUAAGUCACGGCUAACUACGUGCCAGCAGCCGCGGUAAAACGUAGGUGGCAAGCGUUAUCCGGAUUCACUGGGCGUAAAGCGAGUGCAGGUGGUUGUGUAAGUUGGAUGUGAAAUUUCCCAGCCUAACUGGGAAGGGUCAUUCAAUACUGCGCGACUUGAGGGCAGAAGAGGGGGGUGGAAUUGCCGGUGUAGUGGUGAAAUGCGUAUAUAUCGAUAUGAACACCUGUGGCGAAGGCGACCCCCUGCUCUGAUCCUGACACUCACACUCGAACGCUAGGGUAGCGAACGGGAUUAGAAACCCCGGUAGUCCUAGCCGUAACGAUGGAUGCUAGGUGUGGGUGGUAUUGACUUCAUCCGUGCCGAAGCUAACGCGAUAAGCAUCCCGCC
Molecule: ribosomal RNA, 797 nt
Filed under: uncultured bacterium
Lineage: Bacteria
Description: bacterial SSU rRNA
Rfam family: Bacterial small subunit ribosomal RNA
Source: RNAcentral